GUCCCCGUGGCGUGAUCGGUUAGCGCGUUCAGCUGUUAACUGUAAAUGUUGGUGGUUUGAGCCCACCCAGGGAGG
Molecule: transfer RNA, 75 nt
Filed under: Nipponia nippon (crested ibis)
Lineage: Eukaryota; Metazoa; Chordata; Aves; Pelecaniformes; Threskiornithidae
Source: Rfam by way of RNAcentral